UGCUGUUUAUGAACCGAGCUUUUGUUUAAUUGGUUACAGCAAACAGGGAAAUAAAUAACACCAAUACUCAGUCUGUCUCUAGUGACUCCCAGAUGGCCAUGGUGAGCAAGCUUUACUCUACAAGCAGCCCUCAGGAAAAGUUUGUAAGCCUGCUAUGAGGGAAAAAGCACACAGACUUCCAGCUCCACUACAGAGGACUGCAUUUCUGCUGUACUUUAGUAAGGGGAAUGAGGAAUGGAACACUCAAAGACAGCGCCAGGCAUCCGAGGCAGCCCAGCAUCUACACUUAGCUUUAGGAUGAGUCUGCCCAUCUCAGGCAGCUCCUGCAGAGAUGUCCAAAGAAAUAAAAUAAGAUUGUGUCUUAGCACUUUCUCUCACACUCCCGACCAGCUCCAUCCCAACCCAAUCACUGAUCUGCAAAGCAAAAUGCUCAGUGCAGAAAGAACAGUAAACAGGCACAAAAGCUGUCCUUUUCAAGAGAGGAUAAGGAAACAAUGAGAUGUCCUUACUGUGGACCCCCAGCACUCAGCAAAGCUGUUAUAAAAAAAAGAGUGAAGGACAAGUCUCUAACAAGGGGUGAUGAGCUUGUAAAUAGCUUUUAAUCAGAAAGAGGGGGAAAGAAAGGGAGUAAAGAGCUGGUUAGAAGUCUUCUAUGCAAACUUGUGUAGGAAAAUAUUGAUCUGUCAAAAUCUUGGGUUCUUGCAGGCCAGGGUCAGCUCCAACCCAUCUUCCGUAAUUCAUAGAAGUUCUGAAUUGCCAGAAACGUGACACUGUCAGAAUGUCAAGUUCCCAGUUUCAAGCUGGGAUAGCUUUUCAUAUAGAAAUUGUAUGUAGCUACAAUAAGAGGAAAAAAGAUUUAAGAAAGAAAAACCAACAUAGAAACAAUACCUCGAUUACCAACACAAAAUGCCAGCUGACCUAACACAGCUAACCAUCCACUCCCCACAAGUUACUGACCUAGGAACACUUCUGAAGUUCAAAGCCUUCUUCCUCCUUUGGAGAGAAGUUCUGACACUCCAAAAACUCCCAAGUAGGAGAGCAGAGCAGCAUCCUCUGCUGUGAUGGACGUGCUGCAGCAUGGACUUAUCCAUACCAAUUCCAUUAGCAGGACAUUGUCUGUCACUCAUGUGCAGCAUCAGGAUUCUCCAGCAAACACCAUCACUGCCAGCAGCUUGAGUCUGGUAGUCCCUAUGGACAGCACAUUGCACUUGCUCCAGGCCCUAUCUGUAGUACCAUCUUUAAACCCAAUGUGCCAGCAUAGAGACUUUAAAUGCCUUUGUAAAUAGCCUUUCCAGCUGAGUGUAAUUAC
This is a long non-coding RNA of Gallus gallus (chicken), 1309 nucleotides long. The record is from Ensembl. Lineage: Eukaryota; Metazoa; Chordata; Aves; Galliformes; Phasianidae.